This 552-nucleotide ribosomal RNA is filed under the name uncultured bacterium. Its description in RNAcentral is "bacterial LSU rRNA". It matches the Rfam family "Bacterial large subunit ribosomal RNA", at positions 624 to 1180 of the family's 2925-position model. The record is from RNAcentral.
CGACUUACAUUCAGUAGCGAGCUUAACCGAUAGGGAGGCGUAGGGAAACCGAGUCUGAUAAGGGCGAUAGUUGCUGGGUGUAGACCCGAAACCGGAUGAUCUAUCCAUGGCCAGGAUGAAGGUGCGGUAACACGCUCUGGAGGUCCGAACCCACUAAUGUUGAAAAAUUAGGGGAUGAGCUGUGGAUAGGGGUGAAAGGCUAAACAAAUCCGGAAAUAGCUGGUUCUCUCCGAAAACUAUUUAGGUAGUGCCUCACGUAUCACCUUUGGGGGUAGAGCACUGUUAUGGCUAGGGGGUCAUCGCGACUUACCAAACCAUUGCAAACUCCGAAUACCGAAGAGUGCGAGCGUGGGAGACAGACAUCGGGUGCUAACGUUCGGUGUCAAAAGGGAAACAACCCAGACCGCCGAUUAAGGUCCCCAAGACAUGGUUAAGUGGGAAACGAGGUGGGAAGGCUCAGACAGCCAGGAGGUUGGCUUAGAAGCAGCCAUCCUUUAAAGAAAGCGUAAUAGCUCACUGGUCGAGUCGUCCUGCGCGGAAGAUGUAACGGGG